RNAcentral lists this long non-coding RNA (215 nucleotides) under Capsicum annuum. Its description in RNAcentral is "long non-coding RNA (CANN_LNC001331)". Lineage: Eukaryota; Viridiplantae; Streptophyta; Magnoliopsida; Solanales; Solanaceae. The record is from RNAcentral.
AUAAUAGCUAUCAUUCUAGCAUUUGAAUGAUACCUUUAGGGAUCUUAAUAGUAGGGGUGUAGGUCACCUAUUGGGUUGUUUGAGGUUGUUGAGACUAGAUUGUUUGUCCCUAAUUUAGUUCAUCAAGCCAUGGAUAGGGUGGAAGUGAUUAGAGAAAGACUUAAGACUGCUAAGUGUUGACAAAAGUCUUAUGAGGAUGUGAGACGAAUAGAGUU